This is a ribosomal RNA of Cephalotus follicularis, 119 nucleotides long. The record is from Rfam. Lineage: Eukaryota; Viridiplantae; Streptophyta; Magnoliopsida; Oxalidales; Cephalotaceae.
GGGUGCGAUCAUACCAGCACUAAUGCACCGGAUGCCAUCAGAACUCCGAAGUUAAGCGCGGUUGGGCGAGAGUAGUAUUAGGAUGGGUGUCCUCCUCGGAUGUCCUCGUGUUGCACCCC